Molecule: non-coding RNA, 550 nt
Organism: Drosophila melanogaster (fruit fly)
Lineage: Eukaryota; Metazoa; Arthropoda; Insecta; Diptera; Drosophilidae
Source: Ensembl
AUGAAAGAGCGGAUGAAAAGUAAGAGAGCCGGUUGAGCCGGUAGAGAAAACUACUACUCACGAAAGUGAGCCAAAAGUCACCCGAUAAGGCUUCUUAUCGCCUGCAGUUCGCGUAGCCCCCCCACUCCUUCAACCGCGGUGCAUAGGUCAACAACACUCGAGAGCCUCGAGGUUCUAGAACUUGUCAUAAAAGUGGCGAGCACGCGGAAAUGAUUCGCUGCUGCUCUGUAGAUUUGGAUUACGAAACACCCAGAGAAAUGGGAACGAUUACGCGACUUUUCAACUGCACUGCCGCCAAUGGGGGGAAAAAUAUCUGAAUUUUUUUUAAGGGGCUCAGGGGUUCUGUUCACUGCGUAUGACGCCCACUCACCGAACUGGAAACUGAAUCUGGGAUGUGGUGAUUAGCUGCUGGCUACUGGCUGGGUCCGCUGCUGCUGCUGCACUGGAGGAGAGCGGUUAACGCUUUUAUUUUCGGCCCGUGUCGCUGCUACUGCCGCUGCCGAUGCCUCUGCUACCGCUGACUGCGGCGUCAACGUGAAAUUCCAAAGCG